UGGCAAACUCUGAAUACCGUCAAGUGCGAGUAAGGCAGACAGACAGUGGGUGCUAACGUCCAUUGUCAAGAGGGAAACAACCCAGACCGCCAGCUAAGGUCCCCAAGACACAGUUAAGUGGGAAACGAAGUGGGAAGGCAUAGACAGCUAGGAGGUUGGCUUAGAAGCAGCCACCCUUUAAAGAAAGCGUAAUAGCUCACUAGUCGAGUCGUCCUGCGCGGAAGAUGUAACGGGGCUCAAACUGUGCACCGAAGCUGCGGAUAUCGAAAGAUAUGGUAGGGGAGCGUUCUGUAGGUCUGUGAAGGUGUCUUGUAAAGGAUGCUGGAGAUAUCAGAAGUGCGAAUGCUGACAUGAGUAGCGAUAAAGGGAGUGAAAAGCUCCCUCGCCGAAAGCCCAAGGUUUCCUACGCAACGUUCAUCGGCGUA
Molecule: ribosomal RNA, 425 nt
Filed under: uncultured bacterium
Lineage: Bacteria
Description: bacterial LSU rRNA
Rfam family: Bacterial large subunit ribosomal RNA
Source: RNAcentral